AGAGUUUGAUCAUGGCUCAGCCUGAACGCUGGCGGCGUGGCUAAGACAUGCAAGUCGAACGGGUGUAGCAAUACACCAGUGGCGGACGGGUGAGUAAUGUAUCGCUAAUGUGCCCCGGAAUUUGGGAUAGCUAGCCGAAAGGCUAGGUAAUACCAGAUGAUAUACCUUGAAGGCAUCUUCGAGGUCUCAAAGGAGCAAUCCGGUCUGGGAGCAGGCGAUAUCGUAUCAGCUAGUUGGUGAGGUAACGGCUCACCAAGGCGACGACGCGUAGCCGGGCUGAGAGGUUGGCCGGCCACAUUGGGACUGAGACACUGCCCAGACUCCUACGGGGGGCUGCAGUAACGAAUCUUCCGCAAUGCACGAAAGUGUGACGGAGCGACGCCGCGUGUAGGAUGAAGUCCUUCGGGAUGUAAACUACUGUCAGGGGAAAGAAAGUUCUGAUCUACCCCAGAGGAAGAGACGGCUAACUCUGUGCCAGCAGCCGCGGUAAUAC
Molecule: ribosomal RNA, 493 nt
Filed under: uncultured bacterium
Lineage: Bacteria
Description: bacterial SSU rRNA
Rfam family: Bacterial small subunit ribosomal RNA
Source: RNAcentral